GAUUAUUUUGAGCUGAAGGCAAUUGAGACCCUAUAGGCUCAAGAGAAACGUUUGCCCCUCUUUCAACUACAUAAAAGAAUCUAAAUCAGAGGAUCUUUCCAGAAAUAAGGGUUAUUACCAGAGAUAAGUUUUAUCUUGAGUCACCCAUCUGUAUGGCAGGGCAAAUGUUGGUUUUCCAAACAUGUACUCCUUUUCAGCCUCCUGUGAAUUACAUUCUUUCCCUUCGAAGUCUGAGACCCCCUACCCCCUUCUCCUUAGUUCAGAAUGGCAUACGUACCUCAUUUUGCCUGUCUUUGGAAUUUCCACGUCUGUGUGGAUUCCCUGUACGUAUGCUAUUAAAUCUGAUUUCCUCCUUUCCUCCUGAUUCUUAGUCCAGCUAGAAUGACCCUUGAAGGGGACAGGAAUUGUUGCCUCCUGAUGCUGGCUACGGUCCCACCAAUUCCUCUGACAUUACUAACCCAGAAGUUUAAGCAGAUGAGUAAUCAAGGAAUGCACUUUCCAUCUUGGAAUCUCCAGCCAGUGACUCGUGAGCAAAAUUGAAUGCGUCGCUUCUGGGCUACGGCCAUCAGUUCUGCUGAAAGUUCUCAAAUGGUCUUCCUCUGUGCCACAGUGAGGGCAACGUUCAAGAUGGCGGCAGCUCUGUCCCAGGGGUCCUGUCACUGAACAGAUCCCCUGGCUAACGUGCGAUCGACAUGGAGCCUAGGUAAGAACUAAAUAUUUACUGUUAAAAGCCAGUUGUCCUUGGGGGGCGUUUCUCACUGUGGCAUAACCCAGCCUCGCUGCGCUCCAUGGCGAAGAAGCUUACACUUGAUUCUGUGAACUACAUGUGGGGCUCUGGAGGGGAGUGUGGUCAGGCUUGCAGUUUCCAAAGACCACUCUACUCUAGCUCACUGGGGUUGUUAAACAUAAAUAAGUUUAAUAACAGGGCUUAAAUAUAUUCUUAUGUAUAUUCUUCAAUAUAUUCUUAGAAACUACGAUUUUUUUUUUUUAACUUUGAUCUUUUUUUUUGGUAAACGUUACUUUAAUGGUAGUUGUGAUGGUUGGUUCUAUGUGUCAACUUCACGGAGCUAAGGGAUGCCCAAACAGCUGGUGAAACAUCAUUUGUGGGAGCGUCUGGGAGAGUGUUUCCAGAAGACAUUAGCAUUUGAAUCGGCAGAUCAGGUAAAGAGAUGUCUUCACCUGUGUGGCCGAAGGUUCUGAUCAGAACAGAAAGGAGGAAGGGUGAGUUCUCACUCUCAGCGUGGGGACCCCAUCUUCUCCUGCCCUUGGACAUUGGCGCUCUCCGCUCUCAAGCCUUUCGGACUCGGACUGAAUUGUGCCACCAGCUUUCCGGGUUCUCCAGCUUGCAGACGAGAGGGGGUGGGCCUUCUCAACCUCUACCGUCACGUAAGCAACUCCUGUAAUAAGCCUCCUCUUACAUAUACGUCACUCUGUAUAUCCUAUGCGUUCUGUUUCUCCGGAGAACCCUGGCUAAUA
Long non-coding RNA from Herpailurus yagouaroundi (jaguarundi), 1476 nucleotides. RefSeq lists it as uncharacterized. Lineage: Eukaryota; Metazoa; Chordata; Mammalia; Carnivora; Felidae. The record is from RefSeq and is a predicted model, not a curated record. The transcript has 2 exons.